RNAcentral lists this ribosomal RNA (381 nucleotides) under Neaspis sp. NLG-2013. Its description in RNAcentral is "partial 12S ribosomal RNA". The record is from RNAcentral. Lineage: Eukaryota; Metazoa; Arthropoda; Insecta; Coleoptera; Lophocateridae.
UAAAAUUAAAAAUUUUGGCGGUAUUUUAGUCUAUUCAGAGGAACCUGUUCUGUAAUUGAUAGCCCACGAUUUAAAACACUUUUUUUAAUAAGUUUAUAUACCGCCGUAGUUAGAAUAUUUCGAAGGAAUAAAAUGUUCAUUAAGUUAUAUUAAAAGAUAAAUCAGGUCAAGGUGUAGCUGAUAGGAAAGUAGAAAUGGGUUACAAUAAGAUUAUUUUUGGAUUAAUUGUUUUAAUUGGUUAUGAAAUUGGAUUUGAAAGUAAUUAUAUAUAUAUAUUUAUAGUGAUUAUAGCUCUAAAAUAUGUACAUAUUGCCCGUCGCUUUUGUUUUAAGAUGAAAUAAGUCGUAACAUAGUAGAUUUACUGGAAAGUGAAUCUAGAAA